GCUGGAGUGGCGGAAUGGCAUACGCAACAGACUUAAAAUCUGUGGGAGCGCAAGCUCCGUGUGGGUUCGAGUCCCAUCUCCAGCA
RNAcentral lists this transfer RNA (85 nucleotides) under Planctomycetota bacterium. RNAcentral's name for it is "Planctomycetes bacterium (freshwater metagenome) tRNA-Leu". It matches the Rfam family "tRNA". Rfam says of the family: Transfer RNA (tRNA) molecules are approximately 80 nucleotides in length. Their secondary structure includes four short double-helical elements and three loops (D, anti-codon, and T loops). RNAcentral also lists the same sequence under 1 other name. The record is from RNAcentral. Lineage: Bacteria; Pseudomonadati; Planctomycetota.